GACGAACGCUGGCGGCGUGCUUAACACAUGCAAGUCGAACGGAAAGGCCCUGCUUUUGUGGGUUGCUCGAUUGGCGAACGGGUGAGUAACACGUGAGUAACCUGCCCUUGACUUUGGGAUAACUUCAGGAAACUGGGGCUCAUACCGGAUAGGAGCUCCUGCUGCAUGUUGGGGGUUGGAAAGUUUCGGCGGUUGGGGAUGGACUCGCGGCUUAUCCGCUUGUUUGUGGGGUAGUGGCUUACCAAGGCUUUGACGGGUAGCCGGCCUGAGAGGGUGACCGGCCACAAGGGGCCUGAGAGACGGCCCAGACUCCUACGGGAGGCAGCAGGGGGGAAUAUGGCACAAUGGGGGGAAGCGUGAUGCAGCAACGCCGGGUGCGGGAUGACGGCCUUCGGGGUGUAAACCGCUUUCGCAUGUGACGAAGAGUGAGUGACGGUAAUGGGUAAAGAAGCACCGGCUAACUACGUG
Molecule: ribosomal RNA, 468 nt
Filed under: uncultured bacterium
Lineage: Bacteria
Description: partial 16S ribosomal RNA
Rfam family: Bacterial small subunit ribosomal RNA
Source: RNAcentral